ACUGUAAGAGGCUGCAAGUAACGGGUCGUGACAACAGGAGAGACACGUUUCGGGACAGCCAGGCAGGCGUGUCUGCUUCUUGUUCUCGCACGCUGAGUGAGCGCAGCAAAUGUGCGCUCCGGAGAUGAUGGAAACGGAGAACACCUUCCACCUCGGCUGACUCACAGCGAGCAGCACCGAGGGCGAAGGAGAAGGGGGGAAAAAGUGAGGGAGCGGCAGGAAGAGCAGUCAUCCUCCCGCACAGGAAGCGCCGGCCGCCGCCGCCGCCGUCACCGGUGCCGGUGCCGCCGCUCCACUGAGGCGCCCUGUUCUGCGGCGCUCUUUCUCAUCCUGCCUUUCACACUUGGGAGAAUAACAGGAACGACAGAGUGAGUGAGUGAGUGAGUGAGAGGGGACGGAGGGGGAGAGGCCGUGAGGGAGGUAUGUAAGCAAAGGAGGAGUUCCAAAACGAACAUUCUCAGGGAUUUCGGCCCGCUUUGCACCCCCCCUCCCACCGCGUCAGGAGCGCAGACACGCGUUCGGGCGGCGCGGGACUCAGCUCAACACUCUCUCGCUUUCAGAACGCACCGUUACCCCACUGAUUAGCAUCCGCUGCACAUGCGCAACACAUUGACAUAUUUUACGUGCGUACUUGAGUACGUGCGGGUUACCUUUACACCCUGAAAGUGUCCUGCCAGUGUUCCUUUUGAAAAAUGGGAAAAUUGAUCUGGUUCAGAUGAACAAAAGGGCCUCCUUCAGCAGUCGAUUCUUCAUUAUUCCGCCACAAAAAGAAGAGGCGAACCGGGGAAGGUCAGAGAGACUAGGCAGGAGAAUGACAGCAGGAGCUGUGGCAAAGGGGUGGACUGAAGCCAUGGGGACUGUGGGACUUGGCUUCGGGACGGCUAUAUGCACUUGCUAAGCUUUUUCCGUGGAUUCAGUGUUCUCUGGAACAGAUUAGCCUCUAAAAGGGAGGGAUGGCUGGUGGAAGAGGAGAGUGACAGGGAGACCGAGCAAGGGAGAAGUGAGACUGAAGAGAGGCACCAGGUAACUUUCGCUGUGAUCUGAGUUUGACGUGUGGAAGUCUUAGCACGUGGC
This 1074-nucleotide long non-coding RNA is filed under the name Scleropages formosus (Asian bonytongue). RNAcentral describes it as "lncRNA (ENSSFOG00015029979.1)". The record is from RNAcentral. Lineage: Eukaryota; Metazoa; Chordata; Actinopteri; Osteoglossiformes; Osteoglossidae.